Molecule: ribosomal RNA, 468 nt
Filed under: uncultured bacterium
Lineage: Bacteria
Description: partial 16S ribosomal RNA
Rfam family: Bacterial small subunit ribosomal RNA
Source: RNAcentral
GACGAACGCUGGCGGCGUGCUUAACACAUGCAAGUCGAACGGAAAGGCCCUGCUUUUGUGUGGUGCUCGAGUGGCGAACGGGUGAGUAACACGUGAGUAACCUGCCCUUGACUUUGGGAUAACUUCAGGAAACUGGGGCUAAUACCGGAUAGGAGCUCCUGCUGCAUGGUGGGGUUUGGAAAGUUUCGGCGGUUGGGGAUGGACUCGCGGCUUAUCAGCUUGUUGGUGGGGUAGUGGCUUACCAAGGCUUUGACGGGUAGCCGGCCUGAGAGGGUGACCGGCCACAUUGGGACUGAGAUACGGACCAGACUCCUACGGGAGGCAGCAGUGGGGAAUAUUGCACAAUGGGCGGAAGUCUGAUGCAGCAACGCCGCGUGCGGGAUGAAGGCCUUCGGGUUGUAAACCGCUUUAGCCUGUGACGAAGCGUGAGUGACGGUAAUGGGUAAAGAAGCACCGGCUAACUACGUG